UGGUGGAGCGAUUUGUCUGGUCAAUUCCGAUAACGAACGAGACUCUAGCCUACUAAAUAGUUCGGGGACCCCCACAAAGGGGCCCCGCUUCAACUUCUUAGAGGGACAGGUGGCAUUUAGCCACACGAGAUUGAGCAAUAACA
This 143-nucleotide ribosomal RNA is filed under the name uncultured eukaryote. Its description in RNAcentral is "partial 18S ribosomal RNA". It matches the Rfam family "Eukaryotic small subunit ribosomal RNA", at positions 1299 to 1458 of the family's 1831-position model. The record is from RNAcentral.